Molecule: ribosomal RNA, 348 nt
Organism: Trichinella murrelli
Lineage: Eukaryota; Metazoa; Nematoda; Enoplea; Trichinellida; Trichinellidae
Rfam family: Eukaryotic large subunit ribosomal RNA
Source: Rfam
ACUCUAGUCUGACUCUGUGAAGAGACAUGAAAGGUGUAGCAUAGGUGGGAGAUUGUCAAAUUGCCAUCGUUCGCGCGGUGGUCCGGUGAUCGCCAAUGAAAUACCACUACUUUGAUCGUUUCUUUACUUAUUCGGUAAAGCGAAAAAAUUGUGGCCAAUUUGGCGGUGUUUAUGUCGCUGUUGGUCAUUGUUUUCAUGUUAGAUUGAAGCUUUGUUUACAGCCGUCGCUUUGUGUCGCCAUUUGACGCAUUGUUGUACUGGGUUAUCCCGGUGUGUGGUGUAGUCAGUAUGGAUGAUCGGCGAUAGGUUUGAAGUGAUUCGCUCCGGAAACAGUGUCAGACGGGGAGU